This is a long non-coding RNA of Pezoporus occidentalis (night parrot), 3510 nucleotides long. RefSeq lists it as uncharacterized. The transcript has 8 exons. The record is from RefSeq and is a predicted model, not a curated record. NCBI's taxonomy places the organism in Eukaryota, Metazoa, Chordata, Aves, Psittaciformes, Psittacidae.
GACGCGGUCCCAUGGAGCCUCUAUAUGGGCCGGGGGAAGGGGCGGCCAGCCCUGUCCCGCCGCGCUUCAGGCUUGAGGCCCAUCGUUCCGCGGCGGUGUGGGAGUUUGGGUGGUGCUUGGAUGUGAGCGCUGCGGAGAAGCUGAGCCUGGGGCCUGCGCUCGGAUUUCAUGAGUUCAAGAUGCACCAACUACUUACACCAUCUUCCUCUUACAGCUUUGAAACAGGUAAGUGUUGUGUCUAAAAUUAAGUUUUAAAUUGAGAAAUGGUUAGGUACACUUACAGCAACUUAGCCUGGAGUACUCUUAUAUGUCAGGGAACUACAGGAGUGGUGUUUGUAAUACAGUAAUUGCCUGUGGUAUUUCUUCAGGCAGUCCUUACUGUUCUACUGGGAAGAAUCACCUCGUUCUUUGUACUGGAAAGUGGCUGUUAGGCCGCUGUUUCUGAAGCAGUAAUUAUUCUGUACCCAAACUACAGUAGGACCUAGGUGCUUUUUUUCUUCAUUAUUACUAUUUACAGCAAUAAGUAGCUUGCUGUUUAAGGAAAACUGCCUGAUGCAUGUUUCAGAAACGUGUGACUGUCAGAAUUAAUGUUAACUAAAUCAGAGCCUAUGAUGGUUUCAAUACAAGAGUAGUGGACAGAAAUGAUUUCUGAAAACUCUGUGCUGAGGCUUUUUUCUCUGCUUGAUGUCACUGCCAGAGAUAGUCUCCCUUAGUUCUACAGGUGUCUGAAACUUCUGUGUUUUUCAGAUCUGCUGUGGAAUAAAGAAACUUGAUGCUACUACAAAAGGUAAGAAAAAAAAAUUAAAAAUUCAGCCUGAAAUUGUGAUUGUUUAUCUAGACAGUAUCUUUUGUUCUAAUAACAUUAAUAGGCAGACUUUUCUCAGUUUUCCCUCCAGUGCCACAAUGAUGACACUUAUUUGCUACUCUUGACCAAGAGAAUGAUGAGCACUCUUACCACCAUAACUUUUCCUCUGAGGCACAGCAACUUAACGUUCCCCUUGAUGUUUUGUCUUAAGAACGUUCUAUUGAUAAGCUUUUUUUUUCUUCCAGUAUUUGAGUCAUAUACUUAGAAGACUUGCAGAAGAAACAUCAUCUGGUACUGGGAAAUAAAGCUAUAAACUGUGCAAGGCUGCCCUUGAUGGAGGAUACCUGUGCCUCCAGUGUGAGAAUAUUUCACCUGUUACUAAUGCUUGUGAAGACAAGGCCUUUCUAAUUAAAGGCUUCCAGAGUUUGUCAUUGCAGUGGCUGCUGUGAUAAAACUGUGAAGUAGUGCUGUUGUAGUCUACCAGCAAAAGUAAGUUGCCAGCAAAUGCAUGUGACUGGUCAGAACUGUGUGAUAAGUGAUCGGGAAGUUACUGCUAAAUGCUGGCCUCUAAUUGCAGUGUAGCUGAAGCAUUUAGAAGGUUCCUUGAGGAUUUGCCUCUACCAGUAGAUCACAGAUAACCAGCAGCCUGCAGGUUCACUUGCCCAAGGUGCUAGGGACUGAAUCUCAUACUUUGAAUAGAGACAGUACUAAGAUAGUUAUAAUUCCAGCAGUAAUAGACGUAGUUUCUGGAAGUCUUAAGGAGGCUCUGGAGUAACAUAAAUAUUGGACUGACAUUUCAUUUUCCUAAUGGUUUAUCCUAGAUUUGAGAAUGGGAAAACUGUUGGAUGCUUUAUGACAGAUGAUUCGUACUUGGUAAGCGGCUUCUCAGUUGCCCCAAGAAAAAAGAGAAACCUUUUUUCUACUCUUUGAAAAUCUUUACUGCUUUUUGCAGCAGAGAGAAGAAAUAGCAUGGACCCCAUUGAAAUAUGUAACUGCUAUGGGCUAGGGUUACUAGGAAUAAGAAUGUGUGAUAACCUGGCAGUGCAGAGCCUGUGCUGACCAAAACUAGUACAAUUAUUUGCUGGUUUAACUUUGCUGGUUAAAUUUGGUGGGCUUUUGCAGGGAGUAGUGAUGUGAAUAAAGAUGUAGUUGGGAGUAAGGUCUGAAAUGCUGAGGUCUGGUCCACCUCAAAGGAGAAACAAAAGUAACAAAAUACGAAGCUUCUCAAAGCAUGUACUGUUUGUGAUGAUUAAUUCUAAUCAAUGGGAAUCUCUCUGAAAGAGGCUGAGGAGGACUCUUGUGCUGAAACAGUACUCAUAUUCAAACUAAUUCUUGAGGCACUUCCAAGGAGAAUGUGUUAAUAGAAUUUCACUUGUUACAGGGUGAAGCUCAUGAGUUUGUGUGAGAAACAAGACUAACUCAUGUCUGAGGUAAGUGUCAAGUAGGUUGGGUUUGAUAAUUACAGUAAUGCUGGUUUUCUGCUAGGUGCCUAGAUUGUGGUGCCUAAAAUUAUUCAUUACUCCUAUAAUAGAUCGGAUUUGUCUUCCUGUUGUAUUCUGAUUAUCUCAGCUACUCUGGGAAUAAAUGUGAUGUGCUUGAAGCAAGAAUGCACUUCUGUGUAGGUCUGAGUUGGACUUAAAAGCGAAAGGGUCUUUCUGGGCAGAUAAGACAAUUUCUGAGCUGUAGUCAAUAGUAAACUUUUUGUAGUUCUUAACAGGAAAAGGUGUGGCUUCAAUGACUAAAAACUGGGAGUUUAUUAUUGGAUGUCUACACAUUGGAAAUAGUAAAGGACCUGAAUCAGUGUAGACUACUUAGCCAGUGAAGUGUUGAUAGUGUAGUGCAGCAGAAUGCAGAGUAGCAAAAAAUAACUCUUAAAAAUUCAUAUUUAUGUGGCUGCACUCUUAAAAAAAACAACAAAAAAACAUCCAACCUAUAUGCUGUGGUUGUCAGCUAAUGUUGGCACUAUGCAAAUAGAAUCAAGUUCUAGGUAAUUGCUGUGCAAAUGUGCUUCCUCCAACAGACUGGCUGUAAAUUUUAAGGAUAGGUUUUCAAGGUAAUUUCUAUGAGACUUUUAUUUUAAAUAUCAAAACUCAGUGAAUGUAACUAUGGGGAGAGAGUAUCACAAGCAGGUAGCUUUGUACUUUCCCCCAGUUCUUACAAUAAUAAUUCUGUAUUUUCAGUUAGGAUUUGUAAGCUUUGUAUAUCCUAUUUGGGUGUUACAAAUUGAAUUUCUUUUAGAGUAGAACUUCAUAGAUAGUCAACCUUUUAUAUAGUGAUGUCUGUUAUUCUGAAACAACUUGUUUCUUUCUCAGGAAAGGACUGUGCCGUCUGCAGCCUCAUUGGGUAAGACCACACAGCGGAUUAAUUCUGUUAAGAAAAUUAUGGGGUUAUUUGUAGCCAUUGAUGAAAUUUGAUUCUGCCAAAUGAAUUACCUUGAUAUUACACUUUCCGUUCCACUUUUCUCUGAGGUUACAAAGUUGCCGUGGAGGUUUUUAGGGUUGUGCUACUGCAAGAUUUAACUGUGGUUUCUUACUCUAGGUGAGAAGGCAACUUUGAAAUUACUCUAUGAAGAACUGAAGGUGGGAGACUGCAGAAUAAUGCAUUACACUUGCAUGAACAGCACUAAAAAAGCCCAAGAGUUCUUUUACCACACCAGUUAUGUUUUACUGAUACUGAUUGGUACCAAUAAAAACCUGUAAACUCUA